RNAcentral lists this unclassified non-coding RNA (352 nucleotides) under soil metagenome. RNAcentral's name for it is "partial contains 5.8S ribosomal RNA, internal transcribed spacer 2, and large subunit ribosomal RNA". The stretch from base 1 to 120 matches the Rfam family "5.8S ribosomal RNA", at positions 35 to 154 of the family's 154-position model. The record is from RNAcentral.
GAUGAAGAACGUAGCGAAAUGCGAUAAGUAAUGUGAAUUGCAGAAUUCAGUGAAUCAUCGAAUCUUUGAACGCACAUUGCGCCCGCCAGUAUUCUGGCGGGCAUGCCUGUUCGAGCGUCAUUACAACCCUCAGGCCCCCGGGCCUGGCGUUGGGGAUCGGCGGAAGCCCCCUGUGGGCACACGCCGUCCCUCAAAUACAGUGGCGGUCCCGCCGCAGCUUCCAUUGCGUAGUAGCUAACACCUCGCAACUGGAGAGCGGCGCGGCCAUGCCGUAAAACACCCAACUUCUGAAUGUUGACCUCCAAUCAGGUAGGAAUACCCGCUGAACUUAAGCAUAUCAAUAAGCGGAGGA